UGGGGUGUCUGUGAAUUUAUUAUGAUUUUAGGCAGCCUCUCUUCUAAUGGGUGGGUUUCUGUUCCUGUCUUGCUAGUUGUUUGGCAUGGGGUGUUGAGCUUUGGAGCUUGCUCAUCAUUGAGUUGAGCUGGAUCUUAGUGUUGAGUGGAGAUCUCUGGGAGAGCUCUUGCCAAUUGAUAUUAUGUGGGGCUGGGAAGUCUCUGGUGUCCAGUGUCCUGAUCUCAUCUCUCCCACCUCAGGGGCUCUGACCUGACACCUGGCUGGAGCACCAAGACUCUGUCAGCCACACGGCCAGCUGACAAGACAACCAGGAGGCUGGCUAAACCCUGCUUCCCACCACAAGACUGCUGCAGCUGAGAGAUACUAGGACACAUGACAAAGGCCAGCAGAAGACAAUGGUUUUACUCAGAUGCUUUUACAAAAGCUUCCUGAAAAUGUGUUUCAUCUUCUGAGAAAUUCAUGGAAAAGGAUCUAACAAGUAUUCUAGAACACAAGUUUCUGAUGAAUUUCAAAUCAUACCACUGAACUGAGUAAGAAUUUACAAAACCCUAAUGGAGAAAUUGAUGGUUUCAUAAAACUUCUAACAAAAGAUCAAACAAAACAAGAAUUAAUUCCAUGGGACUAAAUAAACUGAAG
This is a long non-coding RNA of Physeter macrocephalus (sperm whale), 636 nucleotides long. RefSeq lists it as uncharacterized. Lineage: Eukaryota; Metazoa; Chordata; Mammalia; Artiodactyla; Physeteridae. The record is from RefSeq and is a predicted model, not a curated record. The transcript has 3 exons.